GAAAAGGAAAACUCUUCAUGGGACAGGGGGGACUUCCUUUGAAGUGUCAAGAUCCCGAACAGGGAACCAAAAAUCAAAGAAGGGUUCAUAUCAAAUCCAGAGUCAAGGCAAAUACAAGACACACCGCCCUCAAGAGCCCAAAGGUUUCCUGACUGACUCCUGCAGACAAGGAAGCUGGCUGAGUAUAAAGGUUUAGAAGCAGAAGCUUGGGAAUCAGAUAAAUCUCGGUUGGAAUUUUGCUCUGCAGCAAGCAUCUAUGGUAUACUAGGCAAGCACGCAACAAGUGUGUGUGAAUGUAUGGAGAGGCAGGGGACACUUGACUGUCUCGUUUCUUCUGCUGGAUCCCCAACUCCUCAAGGACAUUGGCUUCUGGCUGUCUGUCUAUAUGA
Molecule: long non-coding RNA, 389 nt
Organism: Neogale vison (American mink)
Lineage: Eukaryota; Metazoa; Chordata; Mammalia; Carnivora; Mustelidae
Exons: 4
Source: RefSeq, a predicted model, not a curated record